RNAcentral lists this ribosomal RNA (492 nucleotides) under uncultured bacterium. Its description in RNAcentral is "partial 16S ribosomal RNA". It matches the Rfam family "Bacterial small subunit ribosomal RNA", at positions 29 to 507 of the family's 1533-position model. The record is from RNAcentral.
AGUGAACGCUGGCGGUAGGCCUAACACAUGCAAGUCGAACGGCAGCACAGUAAGAGCUUGCUCUUACGGGUGGCGAGUGGCGGACGGGUGAGGAAUACAUCGGAAUCUACUUUUUCGUGGGGGAUAACGUAGGGAAACUUACGCUAAUACCGCAUACGACCUACGGGUGAAAGCAGGGGAUCUUCGGACCUUGCGCGAUUGAAUGAGCCGAUGUCGGAUUAGCUAGUUGGCGGGGUAAAGGCCCACCAAGGCGACGAUCCGUAGCUGGUCUGAGAGGAUGAUCAGCCACACUGGAACUGAGACACGGUCCAGACUCCUACGGGAGACAGCAGUGGGGAAUAUUGGACAAUGGGCGCAAGCCUGAUCCAGCCAUACCGCGUGGGUGAAGAAGGCCUUCGGGUUGUAAAGCCCUUUUGUUGGGAAAGAAAAGCAGCAGGUUAAUACCCCGCUGUUCUGACGGUACCCAAAGAAUAAGCACCGGCUAACUUCAUG